Molecule: long non-coding RNA, 3739 nt
Organism: Chinchilla lanigera (long-tailed chinchilla)
Lineage: Eukaryota; Metazoa; Chordata; Mammalia; Rodentia; Chinchillidae
Source: Ensembl
UCAGGACCUUGUACUUGCCAGGCAGGCGCAAAUGCCACUGAGCUAUAUCCCUGGCCCAGGGUUUCUGUAGUCUUAAAGUGGAAUAAAAUGCUGGCAGAGGAGAGUGGUUGGCUCAGCAGGACAGGACUUGCGUAGCACACCUGACCCUUUCACCCCCUUACAAAAAAAGUGAUUCUUACUGUGAACAUGGGUGAGGCAAUUGGAUGGGGGUAGGGAGAGGCUCUGCAGACUGGGGAUAGUGAGCUGGUGACGCGGUUGGAGAGGGCAUGGAGCCUCUUCACAAGCCGGCCUGUCAGCCGCACUGCCUCUAUCUUGCCAUUCCCUCACCUCUGUUCCCUCUUCACCUAGACGUCUUUGAAGAUAAGAAAGUGAAACACCUGAAGAAGAGCCUUUGCUCAAAAGUGUCACGAGGAAAGAGGAAGAGAGGCUCCAGUGAUCCUGCGGGCCCCGUAGAUAGUGCAGUGAAAAAGAAAGUGACCAAGGUGACUGUUAAAUCUGAAAACCUCAAGGUGAUAAAGGACGAAGCCCUCAGCGAUGGGGAGGAUUUCAGGGACUUUUCACGUGACCUCAAGAAGGUGCAGCAUCCAAAGAGAGAGGCUGCCAUGGGCAAAGGCAGUGACGAAGGAGACGAAGAAAGUGAAGAUGAUUGGGAAGAGGUUGAAGGUGAGGCGUCUUUCCCCACAGUGUAGUCUGGUUGUUUUCUUUUGAAACUGAUAAAACCUAAGACUGAAGAACAGGUUGCAGUAGAAAGUUCCUUUUUCCGUUGAACUCAGAGGCACUGUGCCACUGUACUAUAUCCCCAACCCUUUUUAAUUUGAGAGAGGGGCUUUCUUAAGUUGCCCAGGCUGGCCCUGAAGUUGCCAGCCUCCAGUCUAACCUCCCAAGUAGCUGGGAUUACAGAGAUGCACAACCAUGCCAGGCAGAACUUGGUUUAAUAUAAGGAAUACUCUGUGAGCAAGAUACCAAAGAAGGUGGUAGCGCUGGGGGUAUAGCUCAGUGGCACAGCGCCUGCCUGACAAGCACAAGGUCCUGAGUUCGAUUCCCGGUACGAAUAAAACACAAAGAAGGUGGUAUAUUGUCUUGCUCUGGUGACUGCCAAAGGGGAAGCUGUGAAUAGAGAGACAGUUUUGGAGUACUCAGACUGAGUGCAGACCCUAACCUCGCCUCUUAUAUUGCUCCCCGAGCAGGAACUUGACUUUCCUGAGCUCAGCUUUUUCAUGGGUAGCAUUCUACAAACACUGGGUGUUUAGUAUGAGCAUGUAUUCUAGGUUUAGGACUAUUGUGGGAAGAAAAUGUUUGCAAAUGCAAGAAGUUGGAGCAUCAUAUGCUCAGUAAGUAGCAGUAAUGUGAUCAUUCCUGAUUUCUUCUGUUGAACAUGAUUUUUUUCCCCAGCAUUUUACUUUCAAAGUAUUUAAACCUACAAAAACUGAAAGUGUGUGGACAGUCUCUUCACCUAGAUUUGUCAACUUUCACAUGUUGUGGGACCAUUUGAGAAUAAGUUGCAGACAUCCUGACACUGCUUCUAAACACUUCAGCAUGCCCUGAGAGUAAGUCAUUGUCCUCCCUGGCAAAGCAACAUUAUCACAGUUAAGAGAAAAAAAUAAGUCCCCAGUUGUAUGCUGGACAUGGUGGUGCAUGCCUAUAAUCCCAGCACUGGAGAGGCUGAGGCAAGAAAACUGCUGCAAGUUUGAGGCCAGCCUGGGCUACAGAGUGAAUUCAAGGCCAGCCUGAACUAUAUAGUGAUACCCUGUCUCAAAAGAAAAGAAAAAGAAACCAAAAAGUAGAAAUAUCUUUAUAGCUGUACCUUUGGCCUUUUAAUAAUUCAGAGUUCAGUGAGUUCGUAAGCUUUGCAUUUGGUCAUUAUGUCUUUUUACUCUUUUAAAAUCUAGAACUAUACACCCCUCACUUCCAGAGGGGCCUUGUGUAUGUUAGGCAAGUGCUCUACCACUGGUUCAUACCCCCAGCCCUAUGUAUUUAUUUUAUUUUGAGAGAGGGUCUUGUUCAAUUGCUCAGGCUGGUCUUCAACUUAUGAUCCUCCUGCUUCAGCCCCCUGAGUAUCUGAGAUUGCAUGUGUGCACCCCUGUGGCUGGCUAUACCGCUUCUUUUGAAGGGUGUAGGCCUCUUAUUUUUUAGAAUAUCUAAUGUUACUAGGUUUUUUUUCUUUUCUUCAGUCUUUUUGAGACAAGGUUUUGCUAUGCAAUUCAGGCUGGCCUUAUACUCACUUGGUAGCCAAGGCUGGCCUUGAACGUGUGGCAAUCCUCCUGCCUCAGCCUCUUGAGUGCUGGGCUUACAGGCAUGUGCCACCACACUCUGCUUAAUUGUCUGAUAAAUAGAUAGCUCAUGGAAUGUUAAACUUAUGUCAGUAUCCUUUAUAGUUCUUAAAAACUAUAAGUUAAGUCCAAAGACUUGAUUGGCUUUAGAUUAUUUUUCUUUUUGCAUAAGGAUACCUCCUGGGUGGUGUGUUAUGUUUGUUGCACCCAUUAAAACCCAUCUGAAGCCAGGCGUGGUGGCACACACCUGUAAUCCCAGCACUCAAGAGGCUGAGGCAGGAGAAUCCUUGUGAGUUCAAGACCAGCCUGGGCUACAAAGUGAGCUCAAGGCCAACCUGAACCGCAUAUUGAGACCCUAUCUCAAAAAGACAAAACAAAACAAAACAAAGCAAAAAAAAACCAUCCGAGUAGUUGGAGCUCUGUUUGAGCUGGUACUACCACUGCAUCUUUUGACAUGGUCUCAUAGUUUUGGAGGCUAUUUCUGCUUUCUAGCACAAGGUUUUCCAGGUUUACCGUUCCUUUCCUUGGUCCAGACCUGAAAUCAACCUUUUCUCUCCUAGAAGCCCUGGUUUCAUUUUAUUUUUCUUUGUACAGCAAAGCAGCUGUACUUCCUCUUCAUGGUAACAAAUGAAAACAAAACACCUCGGUUACAAGAGUAUUAAAAUAUAAAAUAGUGAUAAAUCUCACCCCAGAAUUUACAAGACCUGUAUACAGAGAACUAGAAAACACUACAAAGAAAUUACAAAUUUCAAGAAACAUUUUAAGGUGAAACACUUGAAGAUAACAGUUUUCUAUGAAAAUCCAAAAGACUUUAAAUCAUUAAAACCAUUUUGAAAAAGAAGCAAAAACUUUGGACAUAAUUUCCAGAAUUAGUAUACAUUUAUAAUACCUUACUCUUUCACCGUCUCACACUAGGGAGACAAUACGAUACUUACAUACAUGUAUGAGUGAUUUAUUUCACUUAUAAGUAUAGGCUCAGGUUGCAUCCAUUCACCUAUAAAAGUCUCCAGUUUAUCCUAUUUUAUGGAUGAAUAAUAAUCCAUUCUAUACAAAAACCACAUCUUUUUUUAUCCAUUCCUUGGUUAAUGGGCAUUUGGGUUGUUUCCAAGAUUUAGCUAUUACAAAUUGUGCUGCCGUACACAUACAUGCACAUAUAUCACAGUAGUAUAAUGUUUAUAAUUCUUCUGGGAAAUACCCACAAGAGGAAUACCUGGGUCAAAUGGGACCUCUAAUCCUACUUUUUUGAGAAAUCUCCACACUGAUUUCCACAGUGGUUGCACAAGUCUACACUCCUACCAACAGUGGAGAGGGUUCCUUUUUCCCCACAGCCCUUCCAGCAUUUGUUGUUGGUUCAUUUCUUUAUAAUAGCCAUUCUUUCCAGGAUGAGAUAGAAUCUCAGUGUUGUUUUAAUUUGCAUCUCUCAAAUGGCCAGUGAUACUGAACAUUUCUUCAUGUAUUUGUUUGUAUUU